Long non-coding RNA from Passer domesticus (house sparrow), 3189 nucleotides. RefSeq lists it as uncharacterized. NCBI's taxonomy places the organism in Eukaryota, Metazoa, Chordata, Aves, Passeriformes, Passeridae. The transcript is spliced from 3 exons. The record is from RefSeq and is a predicted model, not a curated record.
CAGGAGCUGGUUAAGGCCAGAGUUUUAAGUGUUCCCAGGCAGCUCUCCCGGGCUCUGAGGAUCAGCUCAGCCCGCUGGAAGGGCAGCUCACCUGGGAUUGAAGGUGUCAGCCAGGAGGAGGCUCUUUAUUUUGCUGGGAAGCAGUGAAAUGGAUUUUCAAGCAAUCCCUCCUUUCACCCGCUGAUUCGUUGCUGGUAACAUGUAUUUAAUUCCAGAGCAGCGUGUUCCCAGAGUGUCUGGAAGGAGGCCAGUUUAGCAGUGCCAGGUGAACUGCUGGGAUUAAAUGGAGUGAUCUCCUGGUGGAACGGGGCAUGGAUGAACAUUCCUCCUCACUGGAUGAUUUCCCCUGCCUGAUGUGUCACCAGGAGCUCCUGGCCUGCUCCUUUCCCAGAACUCUCUGCCAAGGAAACUUCCCAGGCCUGUCACAUCCUGCUUGGCAUCUUCCCACUAAUCCUUUGGCCUUUUUCCAGGUUUUUUUGGUCAAAAAUAUGGGAAAAGCCUAACAGCUGAUGGCAUGGGUAACUCAGAGCCAGGCUGGUACAAAGGAGAGGAGCACUGAAUGUCCCCGCCUUGAUUUCCUCACUUACUCAUCCACUGCAUUCUACCGAACCACCUCUGUUCCUUUGACCAAAAGCAUCUCCUGAAAUCCCAAACCUUGGAGAUCCAAACUCUUGAGUGAAAUCCCCAAGGUCUGCCCAAGGUCUGCCCACCUUCUCCUGGCUGUGCCAGGCCCAGCAGCCACUCCUGGGGAGCUGGAGGCAGAGGAAGGUCCCCGUGCCUCCUUGGCAAGUCUUCCACACCAGGGCCUGGGACAGGGACUUUUGAAGGGUUCUGAAGGGCUGGUGACCACAGGAGUGAGGGAGAAGACAAAUUCUGGGUUCUGCAGCUGGUUGAAAUCCCACCAAGUGUCCUGCCAGGCCUGGACCUUGUUCAUCCUUUGCCUUCUGUGGGUGCAGCAGCCACGAUUGCCCUCCAGAGCUGCUGUUCCUUCCCGACCAUGGCGGUGUCAAGGACAUCUCCACCAUCCUCCUUCAGGCUCUGCACAUCCUGCCAUCCCAGGUCACGGCCCUUUGGAUCAGUCUGGAACAGCACGGGCUCUGUUUCUGGGUCAGAACCUGAGGAAAUCAGCAUCUUCCACAGUCAGGGCUUUGAACACUCAGCUCCAGCUGGGAGGGGAGUGACCUUUCCAGAGCAGAAGGAUCCUUUCGGAAGCUGCCAGGAGAGCAUUUUGUUCCUGCACUGCUGAGUCCUUCACAGAGGGCUCUGGGCUGACUUUUCUCCUUCCCCUACUUUAAUUAUUUUCCUUACCUUGAGAUGACAGCCAGACUUGGAAGAAAAAAGCAAAAAACGAACUUUUUUAGGUGAAGUAUGAAAGAAAACGCAGCAAAGAGGUGCAGAGCAGGCCUUGCCUGUGUGAUCAGACCUUCCUGAGGUUCUCCAGCCCUUCCUGGAGGGACAGGGAAGGGAACAAGGAGCCUCUGUGUGACUGGGAAUAUUCCUCCUCUCCAUCUCCAUGGGCACAUGGACCUGCAAUGGCUCCACAGGACACGUGGCCCUGCCACACUGACAACUCUAUUUUGCUCCCACUCCGAGAUGAUUUACAGCCAAAAAAAAAUAAAACCCCAAAAAACAGUUAAGAUGCAAAAGCAAGAAAAUUGUGUCAAUGGUGUUUGGCUGUGGCCCAAGCCCAGGAACACAGCAGGCGUGGGAGCUCCCUUGGAUGUUUGUGCUUGAUGAACACCCACUUGAAACGGCUGAGGAAUUUCAAUAUUUGGACAGAUGGCUGGAUCCCAAAGCCGAGUUUAAAAUACAUAUGGAAGCUCUUCAGAAAUCACAGUCUCUUCCUUUGCUGGGAGUUAUUUCUUGGAAGAAAACAUUCUUCUUUUUUGUUUUUUGAAUGACCAGAGUUGGGGACCUCUUCCCACCAUGGGCUGCACUGGACCUGGGAUCAUUUCUUUACUUUGUCCCCCUCCAGGAUAUUGGGAAGGGCCAUCCUUGGGGUCACUGCCUUUAAAACAGACUGGGUUUUGUCUGCAGUCAAGGAGAGCUCUGGUGUCACCAGGUAACAAACUCUGACAGGCCCAUUUCCACACUCCAGCUCUCACCCACCCACCCGCAAGGUGCUGCUCCUUCUGCUCAUCCCAGCCUGGAUGGACCCUGGGGGUUGUUCCCAGCCCAGGUGCAGCCCUUUAAGGUGGCUGUUGGCAGGAUCAAACCCCAAGCAGGUGCCUCCAGAUCCUACAGAUCCCAUGGAUCCUAUGGAGCAGAGCCCUGGAGCCAGCCCUCCCUCCCAAGCAGAGUGGGACCCUCACAAAUCACCCACUGCAGACAGAAUCUCACUGAGGAUGGAGAUAUUUGCUCUGUUAGCAUGGCAAACAUGCACUCCUAGUCUUGUUGGCGUGUAAACUGCCUGGAAGCUCUUUUUUCCCAAGGAAUGUAUUAUUCAAUCCCUCUUUGAUCAUCCAGGGAUAGAAGCCUCAGCUAUGUUCUGUGCACAUAAAACAACUAUUUUUUUUGUUGCGGAGACCCAAGCAGGUUGGUUUAGUGACAGUGAUUUAUGGAGAGCUCCCUUUUUGCAGGCUAUAAUGUUAAUUAAUUGUUUCUGGAGGACUUGGAUAAAAAGUAUAUUUACUCCUGCCACAGUCAAACGCUCAAUAUUUUGUGCAUUCCCCAAAUCCUUCCCAUGGAUGUCCACAGAACAAUGGCCCAGCAAACGAGGCAGCUGCAGGAGGAGAUCAGACACAAUUCUGAAAUGGUCAAUUAUUUAGAUUAAUUAAUGAGUAAUGCCUCUGCAUGCAUUUUGCAUGUCAUUUGAAUAUUCCAAAGCCAGAGCUUUCAGCUGUUACUGUGCCUCUGGCAGAGCCACAUUCCUUGCAGCAAUCACAGGGAAUGCUGCUCUGCAGAAACUUUGGGAUUUCUGUGUGCCAGGAGUCCUUGGGAAACCCAGCAGCAUCUCUGAGGACCAGCAGUUCCUGCUGUUUAAACUGCUUCCAGGGCAGAGAAAGCUCUGUAGGUAUCUCAGGAGUAGGGAGCAUCCCGUGGGAUUGGUUCUGUAAAUGCCUGGAACCUGCACUCAGAUCCUUAUCUGUAGUCAGGCACCUCCCUCCCACAAAAUUACCAGGGAUUGUGUGCUUUUAAGAAUCCUACCGGGUGCUUAUUUGCAUUUUUAUGUGCCUGGCUGCAUUAAAA